Molecule: long non-coding RNA, 2331 nt
Filed under: Mytilus galloprovincialis (Mediterranean mussel)
Lineage: Eukaryota; Metazoa; Mollusca; Bivalvia; Mytilida; Mytilidae
Source: RNAcentral
UCAAAUUGUUCAACUGGUCAGAAUAUUGAACAAAUUGUUCAGUCAAAAUGUGAAAGUGCAAGGUGUUAAAAUAAAAUAUACUCACAAUCCUAUAAGACUUUAACUCCACUAUAAUGAUGUUAUUACUAAAUUUGUCUAUCAAUCUGUAUAGUUAUAUUAUAGCCAUUACUAUACUAAAGGUAAAAUGUUUUAUUUUGAAUUGCUAUAAAAAUGUCCAAACUAAGCUUUUAUAUAGUUUUUCUUUCGAAAAGGAUUUUAUAUUUAUAACAAUCAUAUAUCAUUUAAAAUAAUACAUCAUAUAUUCAGUAAAAUACGUGUGAAAUAACAAUAUGCUAUUGAUAAGUUUCCUUGGGGAGAUAACCUAAAAUACUAUUCUUUUGAAUAAAGAUUUUUUGAAACCAAAAAAGAUUAUCUCCCCUUCCUACAAACAUAUUACAAUUUCACAAAUACUUUACUGAAUAUGAAAUGUUUUUAUUCACAUAAUGUGUGAUUCUUAUGAAUAUAGAAUACUUUUCGAAAGAAAAACUAUAUAAAAGCUUAGUUUGGACAUUUUUAUAGCAAUUAAAAAUAAAACAGUUCACCUUUAGUACGGUAAUGGCUAUAAUAUAACUAUACAGAUUGAUGGACUGAUUUAGUAAUACCAUCAAUAAAGUGGAGUUAAAGUCUUAUAGGAUUGUAAGUAUGUUUUAUUUUAUCACCUUGCACUUUCACGACUUGACUGUGAUUUUCUACAGUAGUUGGUUUGAAUUUCUGACCAGUUGAACAAUUUGAUUUAAUAAAACAAAUUGCAAUUUGGUCAAAAUUUUGAAUGAAUUGCAAUUGGUGGAUAGCAACACUUACAGUCAAGUCACUGUAAAAAAGAAGCUAGAGUACUCUUAGUUUCAGAGAUCUUACAAUAAGUAGUGACUCUUGAAUACAAAAAGUUUAUAAGGCCAAAAUAAACUUAAGGACAGAGUUGAUGAGCAUUGAGGACCCCAAAUAACAGUGGCGGAUCAAGAAAUUUCCAUAAGAGGGGGCCCACUGACUGCCUAAGAGGGGGCCGCUCCGGUCAUGCUUCAGUGAUUCCCUUUAUAAGUAAUUUUUGCCCAAAAGGGUGGGCCUUGGCCCCCUGCCCUCCCCCCCUAAAUCGGCCUCUGAAUAAUGAAAUUCCUAAAAGUUUUGCCAAUUACAAUUAAGGUAAUCUACUCCUUGGGUAGAAGAACAUUCUUAGUAUAUGCAAGUUUUGUUUAUGCACAUUUCUAUAUUGUCGACAUUCCUUAAGUCAAUUAGUAGAUAGACUUCUGACAUUAUGUAUAUUACUUACUAUAUGUAUUGUGGAACCAUUUUUUAUUAUAAAUUAGCUAAUAAAUUAUCUAUGCAUUUAUUUUUAAUUUUUACACAUGUUAUAUAUCUAUUUGAUUAUAUGUUUAAUUUUUAUGACUUACUUUAAUAAAAUAUCAGAAAAUUGGUUAUUCCUUUAAUGUCUUGAUGAGUGCUGGGAAUCUAGAUAUUGGUGUGAAUCACUUUUUCUGGAAGCAUUGCCUGCAAAAUACUGGGAGAAAGCUGUCUUUCAGUUAUUUAUGCCAACCUCUGUAGGAUAUUUUCCAUAUUGGUGUCUACAGGUGACAUAUUUUCUUUCUCCUGGAAUCUGGCCACAAAUGUGGAGGGAUCAUUAGCUAAGUAGUCAGUGUUUUGGUAAUGACACAAUUUAUAACAAACAUUUCCUUUUAUUUCCAUCUAUAGAAACUGUUAAGAAAUAAGGGUUCAAACUUCCUCAGCAAGGUAAAUUAACUUUCAGAAGAUUUUAUUAUUCUGUGUAGGUCAUUUUGGUCAUAUAGCUCCUACAUAUUCAAGUAUUUAUACAUCCUUGGCUUUUAUUUUUUUUCGGUUCAAACAUUUUUUAUGAAGUUCAACCCAGAGACAAAAAAGGCUAUAUUCAAAUUUUGAAAUAAUUUUUUUCUUUAUUUUUAAGUUGGUAAGAAAGGUUCUAGAUUACUAUAAGUUUUAGAGCUACAUGUAUUACAGUAAAUUCAUCAUAGAUACAAGAAUUGAAAUUGUGUACACCAGUUGCACGUUUUGUCUACAAGACUCAUCAGUGACUCUGAAAUCAAAACAGUUAAAAGGGCCAAAUAAAGAACAAAACUGGAGAGUUUUGAAGACCCAUAAUUUCUUAAAGUUUUGUCAGAUUAGUUUAAUGUGGUUAUCUUUUUCUGGGGAAGAAAACCCUUAGUAUUUAAAAAAAAUCAAAGUUUUUUAAUGCUCUUUUCUGUAAUCCCUACAUUGCCAAAAGUCAAUUACUAGUAAUAGACUAGACAUUAUGUGUAUUACUUACUACUUUUAAUGAGGAAGCAU